This is a long non-coding RNA of Cynara cardunculus var. scolymus (artichoke), 325 nucleotides long. RefSeq lists it as uncharacterized. Lineage: Eukaryota; Viridiplantae; Streptophyta; Magnoliopsida; Asterales; Asteraceae. The record is from RefSeq and is a predicted model, not a curated record. The transcript is spliced from 3 exons.
CUUCGCUCGAUUCGUCCUCCCUCGCCUCUCGCCUCACGGACGAACUCACGAACAGAAACCAAUCCACGAUUCACGAAUCGAAAUCGCAAUCGGCCUUGACUCAAUCGGCUAUCGCUCUCGCUCUCGUUCUCUGCCUCUCUCGGGUCUCGACUAUCGACCGGCUCUUGCUCUCGCAUCUUGUGGCUUGUGAGGUACGGGAAAAGAGGUAGAGGAAAGUAAUUUGCUGCAGAAACUAUCAGAAGCUUGCAUUGUUGAUUUCUCUUAGAUUGACUCUUCAACUACACAAAAAAGGAGGAAAGAGGUUAUUACUAUAAGGCCUUAACGC